This 1482-nucleotide ribosomal RNA is filed under the name uncultured prokaryote. RNAcentral describes it as "partial 16S ribosomal RNA". It matches the Rfam family "Bacterial small subunit ribosomal RNA". The record is from RNAcentral.
AGAGUUUGAUUAUGGCUCAGGACGAACGCUGGUGGCGUGCUUAACACAUGCAAGUCGAACGCUCUCGACCUUCGGGUCACAUGAGAGAGUGGCGAACGGGUGAGUAACACGUGAGGAACCUACCCCAAAGUCGGGAAUAACCCAGGGAAACCUGAGCUAAUACCGGAUGGCGCUCUAGAGAUCGAAUGGUCAUUAGAGGAAAGAUUUAUCGCUUUGGGACGGCCUCGCGGCCUAUCAGCUAGUUGGUGAGGUAAUGGCUCACCAAGGCAUCGACGGGUAGCUGGUUUGAGAGAACGAUCAGCCACACUGGGACUGAGACACGGCCCAGACUCCUACGGGAGGCAGCAGUGGGGAAUCUUGCACAAUGGGCGAAAGCCUGACGCAGCAACGCCGCGUGGGGGAGGAAGGCUUUCGGGUCGUAAACCCCUUUCAGCAGGAACGAAAAUGACGGUACCUGCAGAAGAAGCCCCGGCCAACUACGUGCCAGCAGCCGCGGUAACACGUAGGGGGCAAGCGUUGUCCGGAUUUAUUGGGCGUAAAGAGCUCGUAGGCGGUUCCGUAAGUCAGGUGUGAAAGUCCAAGGCUCAACCUUGGAACGCCACUUGAUACUGCGGUGACUAGAGUCCGGUAGAGGAGUGUGGAAUUCCUGGUGUAGCGGUGAAAUGCGCAGAUAUCAGGAGGAACACCAACAGCGAAGGCAGCACUCUGGGCCGGUACUGACGCUGAGGAGCGAAAGCAUGGGGAGCAAACAGGAUUAGAUACCCUGGUAGUCCAUGCCGUAAACGUUGGGCACUAGGUGUGGGACCUACUUAACGGGUUCCGUGCCGUAGCUAACGCAUUAAGUGCCCCGCCUGGGGAGUACGGCCGCAAGGCUAAAACUCAAAGGAAUUGACGGGGGCCCGCACAAGCGGCGGAGCAUGUUGCUUAAUUCGAGGCAACGCGAAGAACCUUACCUGGGCUUGAACUCCCACGAACCUGCUAGAGAUAGCGGGGUGCCUUUCGGGGAAUGUGGUGAGAGGCGCUGCAUGGCUGUCGUCAGCUCGUGUUGUGAAAUGUUGGGUUAAGUCUCGCAACGAGCGCAACCCCUAUCUUUAGUUGCCAGCAUUAAGUUGGGCACUCUAGAGAGACUGCCUGGGUUAACCAGGAGGAAGGUGGGGAUGACGUCAAGUCCUCAUGGCCCUUAUGUCCAGGGCUACACACGUAAUACAAUGGUCAAUACAGAGGGAUGCGAACUCGCGAGGGGAAGCAAAUCUCAAAAAGCUGAUCUCAGUCCGGAUUGGAGUCUGCAACUCGACUCCAUGAAGUUGGAAUCGCUAGUAAUCGUGGAUCAGCACGCCACGGUGAAUACGUUCCCGGGCCUUGUACACACCGCCCGUCACACCAUGGGAGUUGACCUUACCUGAAGUCGUGGCCCUAACAGCUUGCUGAGGGGAGCGCCUACGGUCGGACCGAUGACUGGGGUGAAGUCGUAACAAGGUAACC